RNAcentral lists this ribosomal RNA (1068 nucleotides) under Triticum aestivum (bread wheat). RNAcentral's name for it is "partial small subunit ribosomal RNA". The record is from RNAcentral. Lineage: Eukaryota; Viridiplantae; Streptophyta; Magnoliopsida; Poales; Poaceae.
AUGGCGGAGCACUGCAAGAUUUCUGCUGCCAUUGUUGCCGAGUCCGAGGAAAGAUCGUAUGCCUUCAAGAUAGACGGAUACUGGAAAGCCAAGCGGCUGGUCAAGAACGGCGAGAGCGUGACUUCUCCCCCCUUCUGCGUCGGAGGUCACGACUGGAUUCUGAGGUACUACCCCAAGAUUUUCGAUCUAGUAACCGUCUUCCUGGUUCUCGAUUCUGCUGAUGCAAAAGGCGUGAAGGCGAAGGUCCGAUUCUGCUUACUCGACAAGGACGGGGUACGGGUGCCGUCGUACACCUUCCAAGAAAAUGUCUUCCGAGGCAAAGGAUCAUCCGGGGGCGGCGUUGGCUAUUCCAUCAAGCAGGAGGACCUGGAGCGAUCGCCGCACCUGAUAGACGACUGCUUCACCAUCCGGUGCGACGUCACGGUGAUGAAGGAGUUCAAAGGCAAAGAAAAUGGCCAGUUCGUUGUGGUUCCCUCGAGCGACUUGCACCGACAUUUCGGCGACUUUCUGAAGAGCGGGGAUGGAACGGACGUGACCUUUCAAGUCGAUGGCAAGACCUUCUCGGCCCAUCGGUCCGUGCUUGCUGCUCGGUCGCCUGUGUUCAAGGCGCAGCUCUUCGGCGCCAUGAAGGAGAGUUCUGAUGAUCUGAUUAUGGUCGAUGACAUGGAAGCCGACGUGUUCACAUCAUUGCUCCAUUUCAUAUACACCGACUCGCUCCCGCAGAUGACCCGUGAAGGAGACGAUGUGGUGGCAGCUAGCCAUCUCCUUGUAGCGGCGGACAGGUAUGACGUCCAGAGGCUGAAGCUCAUCUGCGAGGAGAAACUGUGCAGCCACCUUGACACCGAUACGGUGGCAACCAGUUUGGUUCUGGCUGAGCAACAUAGCUGCCAUGGGCUCAAGGAAGCAUGUCUACAGUUCCUCGCUUCUCCGGCCAAUUUGGAGGCGAUGAAAGCAAGCGAUGGCUACGUGCAUCUCAAAAGCAGUUGCCCGUCUGUUCUCAAGGAACUGAUUGCUAGACUCCUGCCUGCUGAACUGAAAGCGGCCAAGGAUAUUGUCAUGGCAAUUUAG